Molecule: unclassified non-coding RNA, 580 nt
Filed under: Pleosporales sp. KO-groupA 2014
Lineage: Eukaryota; Fungi; Ascomycota; Dothideomycetes; Pleosporales
Description: partial contains ITS1, 5.8S rRNA and ITS2
Rfam family: 5.8S ribosomal RNA (bases 216-369)
Source: RNAcentral
UCCGUAGGUGAACCUGCGGAAGGAUCAUUACAUGGCGGAGAAGGUGGGCACCUGGCCAAAAACUCCAGGUUGUGAUGCCUUCACGCUCUUCCACCCUUGUCUAUUUGUACCUUUUGUCGUUCCCUCGGCGGGUUUCGACCCGCCGGCGGUAACCAUUGAAAACCCUUUUUGCAGUUUAGCAUCCAAUUCUUCUGAUCAAAAUAUCAAAUCGUUACAACUUUCAACAAUGGAUCUCUUGGUUCUGGCAUCGAUGAAGAACGCAGCGAAAUGCGAUAAGUAGUGUGAAUUGCAGAAUUCAGUGAAUCAUCGAAUCUUUGAACGCACAUUGCGCCCCUUGGUAUUCCAUGGGGCAUGCCUGUUCGAGCGUCAUUUACACCCUCAAGCUCUGCUUGGUGUUGGGCGUCUGUCCCCCUUUUUUUCUUGUGGGGGACUCGCCCUAAAGGUAUUGGCAGCGGUCCUGUCGGGCCUCCUAAUCGCGCAGCACUGUUCGCGCUUCUUGGAGCCUGUACGGAUUUCAGCGUCCAUCAAGCCCACAUUCUUUGACUUGACCUCGAAUCAGGUAGGGAUACCCGCUGAACUU